CUUAGGGGGCCUGAGAAGGGGAUCCCCCACACUGGUACUGAGACCCGGACCAGAUUCCUACGGGAGGCAGCAGUGAGGAAUUUUGGACAAUGGGUGAGAGCCUGAUCCAGCCAUCCCGCGUGAAGGACGACGGCCCUAUGGGUUGUAAACUUCUUUUGUACAGGGAUAAACCUUUCCACGUGUGGGAAGCUGAAGGUACUGUACGAAUAAGCACCGGCUAACUCCGUGCCAGCAGCCGCGGUAAUACGGAGGGUGCAAGCGUUAUCCGGAUUUAUUGGGUUUAAAGGGUCCGUAGGCGGACUCGUAAGUCAGUGGUGAAAUCUCACAGCUUAACUGUGAAACUGCCAUUGAUACUGCGGGUCUUGAGUGUUGUUGAAGUAGCUGGAAUAAGUAGUGUAGCGGUGAAAUGCAUAGAUAUUACUUAGAACACCAAUUGCGAAGGCAGGUUACUAAGCAACAACUGACGCUGAUGGACGAAAGCGUGGGGAGCGAACAGGAUUAGAUACCCUGGUAGUCCACGCCGUAAACGAUGCUAACUCGUUUUUGGGUCUUUAAGAUUCAGAGACUAAGCGAAAGUGAUAAGUUAGCCACCUGGGGAGUACGUUCGCAAGAAUGAAACUCAAAGGAAUUGACGGGGGCCCGCACAAGCGGUGGAUUAUGUGGUUUAAUUCGAUGAUACGCGAGGAACCUUACCAAGGCUUAAAUGGGAAUUGAUGGGUUUAGAAAUAGACCGUCCUUCGGGCAAUUUUCAAGGUGCUGCAUGGUUGUCGGUCAGCUCGUGCCGUGAGGUGUUAGGUUAAAGUCCUGCAACGAGCGCAACCCCUGUCACUAGUUGCCAUCAUUUCAGUUGGGGACUCUAGUGAGACUGCCUACGCAAGUAGAGAGGAAGGUGGGGGAUGACGUCAAAUCAUCAACGGCCCUUACGCCUUGGGCCACACACGUAAUACAAUGGCCGGUACAGAGGGCAGCUACACAGCGAUGUGAUGCAAAUCUCGAAAGCCGGUCUCAGUUCGGAUUGGAGUCUGCAACUCGACUCUAUGAAGCUGGAAUCGCUAGUAAUCGCGCAUCAGCCAUGGCGCGGUG
RNAcentral lists this ribosomal RNA (1083 nucleotides) under Chryseobacterium lathyri. RNAcentral describes it as "bacterial SSU rRNA". It matches the Rfam family "Bacterial small subunit ribosomal RNA", at positions 282 to 1364 of the family's 1533-position model. Lineage: Bacteria; Pseudomonadati; Bacteroidota; Flavobacteriia; Flavobacteriales; Weeksellaceae. The record is from RNAcentral.